This 667-nucleotide long non-coding RNA is filed under the name Homo sapiens (human). RNAcentral describes it as "HSALNT0359455". The record is from RNAcentral. Lineage: Eukaryota; Metazoa; Chordata; Mammalia; Primates; Hominidae.
CUGGACGGUACUGCUGCCAUCUCAGCUCACUGCAACCUCCCUGCCUGAUUCUCCUGCCUCAGCCUGCCGAGUGCCUGCGAUUGCAGGCGCGCGCCGCCACGCCUGACUGGUUUUCGUUUUUUUUUUGGUGGAGACGGGGUUUUGCUGUGUUGGCCGGGCUGGUCUCCAGCUCCUAACCGCGAGUGAUCCGCCAGCCUCGGCCUCCCGAGGUGCCGGGAUUGCAGACGGAGUCUCGUUCACUCAGUGCUCAAUGGUGCCCAGGCUGGAGUGCAAUGGCGUGAUCUCGGCUCGCUACAACCUCCACCUCCCAGCCGCCUGCCUUGGCCCCCCAAAGUGCCGAGAUUGCAGCCUCUGCCCAGCCGCCACCCCGUCUGGGAAGUGAGGAGCGUCUCUGCCCGGCCGCCCCGUCUGAGAAGUGAGGAAACCCUCUGCCUAGCAACCGCCCCGUCUGAGAAGUGAGGAGCCCCUCCGUCCGGCAGCCACCCCGUCUGGGAAGUGAGGAGCCCCUCCGCCUGGCAGCCACCCCGUCUGGAAAGUGAGGAGCGUCUCCGCCCGGCAGCCACCCCGUCCGGGAGGGAGGUGGGGGGGGUCAGCCCCCCGCCCGGCCAGCCGCCCCGUCCGGGAGGUGAGGGGCUCCUCUGCCCGGCCGCCCCUACUGGGAAGUGAG